Molecule: ribosomal RNA, 888 nt
Filed under: Paracamarosporium fagi
Lineage: Eukaryota; Fungi; Ascomycota; Dothideomycetes; Pleosporales; Didymosphaeriaceae
Description: LSU rRNA
Rfam family: Eukaryotic large subunit ribosomal RNA
Source: RNAcentral
CUAAGCAUAUCAAUAAGCGGAGGAAAAGAAACCAACAGGGUUGCCCUAGUAACGGCGAGUGAAGCGGCAACAGCUCAAUUUGAAAUCUGGCUCUCUUUGGGGUCGAGUUGUAAUUUGCAGAGGAUGCUUUGGCAUUGGCGGCGGUCUAAGUUCCUUGGAACAGGACAUCGCAGAGGGUGAGAAUCCCGUACGUGGGCGCCUGCCUUUGCCGUGUAAAGCUCCUUCGACGAGUCGAGUUGUUUGGGAAUGCAGCUCUAAAUGGGAGGUAAAUUUCUUCUAAAGCUAAAUACCGGCCAGAGACCGAUAGCGCACAAGUAGAGUGAUCGAAAGAUGAAAAGUACUUUGGAAAGAGAGUCAAAAAGCACGUGAAAUUGUUGAAAGGGAAGCGCUUGCAGCCAGACUUGCCCGCAGUUGCUCACCUAGGCUUUGGCCUGGGGCACUCUUCUGCGGGCAGGCCAGCAUCAGUUUGGGCGGUUGGAUAAAGGCCUCUGUCACGUAUCUUCCUUCGGGAUGACCUUAUAGGGGAGGCGUAAUGCAACCAGCCCGGACUGAGGUCCGCGCAUCUGCUAGGAUGCUGGCGUAAUGGCUGUAAGCGGCCCGUCUUGAAACACGGACCAAGGAGUCUAACAUCUAUGCGAGUGUUUGGGUGUCAAGCCCGGGCGCGCAAUGAAAGUGAACGGAGGUGGGAACCCUUUGGGUGCACCAUCGACCGAUCCUGAUGUCUUCGGAUGGAUUUGAGUAAGAGCAUAGCUGUUGGGACCCGAAAGAUGGUGAACUAUGCUUGAAUAGGGUGAAGCCAGAGGAAACUCUGGUGGAGGCUCGCAGCGGUUCUGACGUGCAAAUCGAUCGUCAAAUUUGGGCAUAGGGGCGAAAGACUAAUCGAAYSAU